This 460-nucleotide ribosomal RNA is filed under the name uncultured bacterium. RNAcentral describes it as "partial 16S ribosomal RNA". It matches the Rfam family "Bacterial small subunit ribosomal RNA", at positions 338 to 795 of the family's 1533-position model. The record is from RNAcentral.
CCUACGGGUGGCAGCAGUGAGGAAUAUUGGUCAAUGGACGCAAGUCUGAACCAGCCAUGCCGCGUGCAGGAUGACGGCUCUAUGAGUUGUAAACUGCUUUUGUACGAGGGUAAAUGCAGAUACGUGUAUCUUUCUGAAAGUAUCGUACGAAUAAGGAUCGGCUAACUCCGUGCCAGCAGCCGCGGUAAUACGGAGGAUGCAAGCGUUAUCCGGAUUUAUUGGGUUUAAAGGGUGCGUAGGCGGGCGGUUAAGUUAGAGGUGAAAUCUCGAGGCUCAACUUUGGAAUUGCCUCUGAUACUGUUAGGCUAGAGAAUAGUUGCGGUAGGCGGAAUGUAUGGUGUAGCGGUGAAAUGCUUAGAGAUCAUGAAGAACACCGAUUGCGAAGGCAGCUUACCAAGCUACGUCUGACGUUGAGGCACGAAAGCGUGGGGAGCAAACAGGAUUAGAUACCCCUGUAGUC